Molecule: ribosomal RNA, 484 nt
Filed under: uncultured bacterium
Lineage: Bacteria
Description: bacterial SSU rRNA
Rfam family: Bacterial small subunit ribosomal RNA
Source: RNAcentral
GACGAACGCUGGCGGCGUGCUUAACACAUGCAAGUCGAACGGUAAGGCUCCAGCUUGCUGGGGUACACGAGUGGCGAACGGGUGAGUAACACGUGGGUGACCUGCCCUGCACUUCGGGAUAAGCCUGGGAAACUGGGUCUAAUACCGGAUAGGACCGCACCGUGAGGGUGUGGUGGAAAGUUUUUUCGGUGUGGGAUGGGCCCGCGGCCUAUCAGCUUGUUGGUGGGGUAAUGGCCUACCAAGGCGGCGACGGGUAGCCGGCCUGAGAGGGUGGACGGCCACAUUGGGACUGAGACACGGCCCAGACUCCUACGGGAGGCAGCAGUGGGGAAUAUUGCACAAUGGGCGGAAGCCUGAUGCAGCGACGCCGCGUGGGGGAUGACGGCCUUCGGGUUGUAAACUCCUUUCACCAUCGACGAAGGGUUUCUGACGGUAGAUGGAGAAGAAGCACCGGCUAACUACGUGCCAGCCGCCGCCGUAACAC